CAAAGCAAACACCCCCCUAGAGAAAAACCCUCCGCCUCUUCGUCUCCGUCAAAUUAACCAUGUCGUGAUGGAGUCUUCUUCUUCCUCCUCUCUCUCUUCAUGCUCCGUCAAUUCUCUCUCUCUCAACCUUCAACCAUCGAACAAGCUCGCCUAUCUCUCCUACUACCAACCCCCUCUCCGGGUAAUCCUAAACCCUAACCCUAAUUUCCUCCGAUCUUGACAAAACCCUAACCCUCUCUUCUCCUCUUUAAAAGACCUCUCCUUAUUUCAGGUCUUUCUCCAUCAAUGACCGCCUCUGGGAGCAGUGGAUCAAGAUGAAGAGCUCGAAUCCGACGAAGAACGCGGAGAUUAAGGUCGAUCAGCAGAACUGGGACGGAGUUGCAAAACUUAAGAUAAACUUUACAGAAGGCCAAUCAGCAGAACUGGCAGCUUGCGCAGGCUAAUUCUCACAUUUUAGUAGAGCUCAAUUUGGGUAAAGACAUUUGCGCUCUCUUAUGGUGUGUUUGGGAGUUUACUAAGGGAAGGGAAGGAAAGGUUGCUGAAGAGCAGGCGAAUCAAGCAGUUCAGUCAAUAAAGCUCGAAGCAGAGAAGCGGAAGAAUGCUGGGACUUGGUUCAAUAAGGGAACCCUUGAAAGGUUUGAUAUAUUUGACCCCUGGUUAUGGUUAGGUUAAUACCAUAUAUUACAAUAAUCUCAAUUCUUCUUAAUCAUGUAAUCUGAUUUCAAUUGGUUAGUGGAUCAUAUUAUGUUCAACAAUGUGUAAUCCCUAUAGCAACCACCUUAGUUAGUGUAGGUAUGUUUUGGAGCUUUGCUCCUUAGUUGAAAGAAACUGGAUACCAUGAUCAAGAAUGCACUUCUUUCUAUAGGAGAACUGAACUUGGCAGCCUGUUUUUCAUUAUUUUUUUCCUUGUGGUCUCCUCAGCGACAACUAUUCAUACAGAUUGUGGCCAUCCUUCAAUGGAGCCUUAUACACCAAGCAAUUUUCCUUUUCUAUAGUUAAGAAACUCCCUGAAAAGUGUUUCUAAAAACUAUACUUGUAGGUUUGUUCGUUUUGUCAGCACUCCUGAGGUGUUGGCGUUGGUCAAUACAUUUGAUGCAGAGAUAUCACAAUUGGAAGGAGCCAGAAAAAUAUAUUUUGAGGGGGCAGGAGAUCAGCUCUCUGGAUAACACCUACAUUGUUAAAGUUUAACCCCCAUUGCUAUUUGGCAUCGGUUCUCGACCCGAUCAACGGAGGGAUCGCCAUCAACCCAAGAAGAAGACUGCAACCCUUGAUGCGAAGAAGAGAAGCAGCGAUAACGACAUUGAAUAUUGUCUCGUUGUGCUCGUCAUGGCGUAAAUGAUGUAUUUGUGCACACCAUCUUUGUGAAUGUUGGGCUAUUUGAAUUAGGAUAUGAAGCAUGUAAAAUAUUUUCUUCUAGUUUUGUUAUGUAAAUAAUUGAAGGAGCGUUGUUAAAUAUUUGGUGAUAUUGCAUCUGAGAAAUAUUUGGUUAUAGUAAUGUAAUAUUUUUUGGGUUC
Asparagus officinalis (garden asparagus) is the source of this 1514-nucleotide long non-coding RNA. RefSeq lists it as uncharacterized. The transcript is spliced from 6 exons. The record is from RefSeq and is a predicted model, not a curated record. NCBI's taxonomy places the organism in Eukaryota, Viridiplantae, Streptophyta, Magnoliopsida, Asparagales, Asparagaceae.